GCGUGGGAGAACAAUCGGUGAGUUCCUGUCCUAUUCAGACGGAGCGAAGCCAUCCCGCCCAGCUCCCCUCCCCAUAGCAACUCUGUUCACUCCCGCGCUCAGUGUCUGACGUACCUUCGUUCAAGUUAAUUUUCUCAUAACCUUUCUAAAUCACUUACUUUUCGGGAUGAAAUAACCUCAAAACAUAUUUCUCAUGCAAUAUCAAGUGAAAAUAAUAAAGCAAAAUUGUGACUCUGACGGGAAAUACCAUGCUGAUCCACCUCAUUCGACCAGACACCAGACUCCACACUCCAGUGUACUUUCUGCUGAGUCAGCUCUCCAUCACACUCCAGUGCACUUUCUGCUGAGUCAGCUCUCCAUCACUGACAUGACGGACGUCUCCACCACGGUGCCCAAGAUGGCAGUCAACUUCCUCUCACAGAGUCUCGGCUCAUUGACCACUUUUUCUGUGAAGUUCCAGCUCUACUGUCAUUGGCGUGUCAGGACACCUCCCAGUAUGAGGAUACAAUCCUCCUGAGUGGAUUUACUAUUCUGCUGCUACCAUUCUUGGCCAUUCUAGCUUCCUAUGCCCGUGUGCUUAUUGUGGUAUUCCACGUGAGCUCAGGAAAAGGACAGGCAAAAGCUGUUUCUACUUGUUCCUCCCACCUGACUGUGGCAAGCCUAUGCUAUGCAACUGCUCUCUUUACCUGCACAAGGCCACACGCCUUGCAUUCCCCAUCACAGGGCAAUUUUACACCAUUAUCACACCUCUACUGAACCCAUCCAUUUAUAGCCUGUGAAAUAAGGAAGUCAUGGGGGCAAUGAGGAGACUGUUGGGAUAAUGGCUAUGCUAUGGAAAAUGCGACUGUAGAACCCUGUAUCGAUUGAGAAUUAACAUCAAAAGCUGUUCCUGAAAACUAUCUGGAAAGAUAUAAAUAUGUGUUUUCUGUAUAGAAGUCACAAAAACAAUGUUUAUCAAACUUCUUUAACUUCUAAAGAAAUAGAAUUUAACCUUCUCAACUCAGUGUUCCCCUGGCAUGUUCAUAUUUUGACUUGCCCUCUUGAAUGCUCUGAAAUGUGAACCAUAGAAGUAAAAUCUACCUAAACAUGUAACAUCAAGAUAAUCUAUAUCACAACAAAAGUUGACAGAGAAAAAAAUGUGUAAGACAUUCAUUCAUUCUUUCACUCAGGUGUUUUAAUGCUUUAAUUUUGUGUGAGACACUGUUACAGGCACUGGUCAUGUGAGAGUAAACAAAAAAUAAAUGCUGACAGAAAUCUCUACUGAUCAGCAACCUUAAUUCCGUCUGCCACCUUAGUUUCCCUUUGCCACAGAACCUGAUGUAUUCACAGUUGCUGGAAGUUAGGCCUUGUGGACAUCUUUGGUGGGCCAUUUUUCUCCCUCAUGUGUAGUGUUGUGUACAAUGGUGUAUGUUUAACAGAAGAACACCAAGGCCAACUCCUGGCAACACUAAGGCCUAACCGAUAAAAGCC
RNAcentral lists this long non-coding RNA (1470 nucleotides) under Callithrix jacchus (white-tufted-ear marmoset). RNAcentral's name for it is "lncRNA (ENSCJAG00000075537.1)". Lineage: Eukaryota; Metazoa; Chordata; Mammalia; Primates; Cebidae. The record is from RNAcentral.